RNAcentral lists this ribosomal RNA (461 nucleotides) under uncultured bacterium. RNAcentral's name for it is "bacterial SSU rRNA". It matches the Rfam family "Bacterial small subunit ribosomal RNA", at positions 30 to 507 of the family's 1533-position model. The record is from RNAcentral.
AUUGAACGCUGGCGGAAUGCUUUACACAUGCAAGUCGAACGGUAACAGGUCUUCGGAUGCUGACGAGUGGCGAACGGGUGAGUAAUAUAUCGGAACGUGCCCAGUCGUGGGGGAUAACGUAGCGAAAGUUACGCUAAUACCGCAUACGAUCUACGGAUGAAAGCGGGGGAUCGCAAGACCUCGCGCGAUUGGAGCGGCCGAUAUCAGAUUAGGUAGUUGGUGGGGUAAAGGCUCACCAAGCCAACGAUCUGUAGCUGGUCUGAGAGGACGACCAGCCACACUGGAACUGAGACACGGUCCAGACUCCUACGGGAGGCAGCAGUGGGGAAUUUUGGACAAUGGGCGAAAGCCUGACGGAGCAAUACCGCGUGAGGGAAGAAUGCCUAUGGGUUGUAAACCUCUUUUUUCAGGGAGGAAUAAAAUGACGUGUACCUGAAGAAUAAGCAUCGGCUAACUCCGUG